GCUGACAGUGAAACAAAAUCUUUAAAUAGGAAGAUAAGUAAUUUGGAAGAUACCCCUGGAAUACCUCUCUUCCUAAUAAAAGUCAUUUAAUGUCACCUCCAUUUCCAGACUUCAUCAAACUCUUCAUUAAAAUGAUCAUUCCCUACCUUGUGUCUCUGCUAUGACCAGUUCUGCCCCCACUAUAAUAUCUAUACUUUUAUAAAUUCUCCUUUAACUUCAUGGAAGUCCCUUCAAGUGAAAAACUGUUGAACUUAUCUUCCCAUCUUGAAGAUCGGAUAAAGAGAACUGGAGAUUCCCUGGAGAAGUUUUGCAUGUAAGUCUUUUAGCAGUGAUCUUUGGAACAAAGUUAUGAAGGAGUCAAGGCAAGCAAAGAUGAGCAG
Long non-coding RNA from Mustela erminea (ermine), 380 nucleotides. RefSeq lists it as uncharacterized. The transcript is spliced from 3 exons. The record is from RefSeq and is a predicted model, not a curated record. NCBI's taxonomy places the organism in Eukaryota, Metazoa, Chordata, Mammalia, Carnivora, Mustelidae.